Long non-coding RNA from Lycium ferocissimum, 451 nucleotides. RefSeq lists it as uncharacterized. The record is from RefSeq and is a predicted model, not a curated record. NCBI's taxonomy places the organism in Eukaryota, Viridiplantae, Streptophyta, Magnoliopsida, Solanales, Solanaceae. The transcript has 2 exons.
CCUUAUACCACCCUCUCUCUCCUCUCACCCUUUCCCCUUUAGGAAACCCUAGCCGCCGCCUUAUACCCCUCUUCUCUUUCAUCCCAAAAAUGGCAACGGCACAGAGAUGCGUUUGCGCAGUCUCGUACCAUCUAUUUCAAGCUAACAAUUAAUGCUUCAACAUUUUUUCACUCAAAACCGUCCAAACGCGGUCCGGCCUUGGGCCAAAGGCCCAACAGGCAAAAUUCUUUCAAAAAUGCAUAUCGAGUCCGAAGAGAAAUGGAAGCUAACAUAAAUGCAAAGAAGGCCCAGCCAUGGGUGAAAAUGGCCAACUAGGGGCUUGGUAAGCCCCUAGCCUUCCAUUCUCCUUAUUUAUUUAUUUAUGAUUUCUUGGUACGAUUUGGUUGUAGUUGUGUAUUUGUAUGAACUUGUAAGAAACUCAUAAAUUAUAUUGGAAUCUUUAUUGUUUGAA